This 254-nucleotide ribosomal RNA is filed under the name uncultured bacterium. Its description in RNAcentral is "partial 16S ribosomal RNA". It matches the Rfam family "Bacterial small subunit ribosomal RNA", at positions 524 to 776 of the family's 1533-position model. The record is from RNAcentral.
CACGUAGGGGGCGAGCGUUGUCCGGAUUUAUUGGGCGUAAAGAGCUCGUAGGUGGCUUAGUAUGUCGGGUGUGAAACCUCCAGGCUCAACCUGGAGACGCCACCCGAUACUGCUAUAGCUUGAGUCCGGUAGGGGAGCGUGGAAUUCCUGGUGUAGCGGUGAAAUGCGCAGAUAUCAGGAGGAACACCAGCGGCGAAGGCGGCGCUCUGGGCCGGUACUGACACUGAGGAGCGAAAGCGUGGGGAGCAAACAGG